Molecule: ribosomal RNA, 293 nt
Filed under: uncultured bacterium
Lineage: Bacteria
Description: partial 16S ribosomal RNA
Rfam family: Archaeal small subunit ribosomal RNA
Source: RNAcentral
GUGCCAGCCGCCGCGGUAAUACCGGCAGCCCGAGUGAUGGCCGAUCUUAUUGGGCCUAAAGCGUCCGUAGCUGGCUGCGCAAGUCCGUCGGGAAAUCCACUCGCCCAACGAGUGGGCGUCCGGUGGAAACUGUGUGGCUUGGGACCGGAAGGCGCGACGGGUACGUCCGGGGUAGGAGUGAAAUCCCGUAAUCCCGGACGGACUACCGAUGGCGAAAGCACUCUGAGAAGACGGCUUCGACAGUGAGGGACGAAAGCUCGGGUCUCAAACCGGAUUAGAAACCCUGGUAGUCC